GACGAACGCUGGCGGCGUGCUUAACACAUGCAAGUCGAACGGAAAGGCCCUGCUUUUGUGGGGUGCUCGAGUGGCGAACGGGUGAGUAACACGUGAGUAACCUGCCCUUGACUUUGGGAUAACUUCAGGAAACUGGGGCUAAUACCGGAUAGGAGCUCCUGCUGCAUGGUGGGGGUUGGAAAGUUUCGGCGGUUGGGGAUGGACUCGCGGCUUAUCAGCUUGUUGGUGGGGUAGUGGCUUACCAAGGCUUUGACGGGUAGCCGGCCUGAGAGGGUGACCGGCCAAAUUGGGACUGAGAUACGGCCCAGAGUCCUACGGGAGGCAGCAGUGGGGAAUAUUGCCCAAUGGGCGGAAGCCUGAUGCAGCAACGCCGCGUGCGGGAUGACGGCCUUCGGGUUGUAAACCGCUUUCGGCUGUGACGAAGCGUGAGUGACGGUAAUGGGUAAAGAAGCACCGGCUAACUACGUG
RNAcentral lists this ribosomal RNA (468 nucleotides) under uncultured bacterium. RNAcentral describes it as "partial 16S ribosomal RNA". It matches the Rfam family "Bacterial small subunit ribosomal RNA", at positions 28 to 507 of the family's 1533-position model. The record is from RNAcentral.